Molecule: ribosomal RNA, 440 nt
Filed under: uncultured bacterium
Lineage: Bacteria
Description: partial 16S ribosomal RNA
Rfam family: Bacterial small subunit ribosomal RNA
Source: RNAcentral
CCUACGGGAGGCAGCAGUAGGGAAUCUUGCGCAAUGGGGGAAACCCUGACGCAGCAACACCGCGUGAAUGUUAAGCCCUUCGGGGUGUAAAGUUCUGUCAAUAGGGACGAAUUUUGACUGUACCUAUAAAGGAAGCACCGGCUAACUCCGUGCCAGCAGCCGCGGUAAUACGGGGGGUGCAGUCGUUGUCCGGAAUCAUUGGGCGUAAAGCGUUCGUAGGCGGUAUGGCAAGUCGGACGUUAAAGUCCGGGGCCCAAACCCCGUUCGGCAUUGGAUACUGGCAAACUAGAAUGUGGUAGGGGUAAAGGGAAUUCCUGGUGUAGCGGUGAAAUGCGUAGAUAUCAGGAGGAACAUCGGUGGCGAAGGCGCUUUACUGGACCAUUAUUGACGCUGAGGAACGAAAGCCAGGGGAGCAAAUGGGAUUAGAUACCCUUGUAGUC